AGAUGUGGAGGCCAAGUCCUCGUCUUGCUCCUGUCAGAGGGGCUUGAUGGGUGAUGGGCACAAAGAAACAAGCAGGAAGAGAAUGGAGAAGAAUUGAAGCUUCUUACAGAGACAUUAAUUCUCAGCGUAGGAUGGGAGCACUCUCUUUAGAGGAAUACAGAGAUUCACAGAACACAGAUUUCUCAAGGAAUUUGCACUGCAUCAUCCUACUCUCACAGAUCCAGUCAUCUCAGCUUCAAAUAUUACUCAGAAAAUGAUGCUUCAGCUCUAGAAGAAAGACAGCUCUUCUCUCCAGGUAUGCAUAUCCCCCAGUGGAUUUCCCCUGAAAACAGACUUUCAAGUUGUCUCAAGUUGUCCAACACUACUCCAAUUUUCCCAUCGCAAGAAGACUUUUUACGGUGCGCAAAUAUCUGGGGGCUGAAGAAGGCCUGGAUCCUACUCAUCAGUUGAAUUUGUG
This 457-nucleotide long non-coding RNA is filed under the name Struthio camelus australis. Its description in RNAcentral is "lncRNA (ENSSCUG00000000399.1)". The record is from RNAcentral. Lineage: Eukaryota; Metazoa; Chordata; Aves; Struthioniformes; Struthionidae.